UCUGAAUGAAGACUCCUCUGGGGAGGGAAGAGGCUCGUGGCUCUCAGAUGUGGCAACCACCUCCUUCAUAUGACUUAAGGAACAUUUCUCAGGCCUGUAUUGCAAGAACAACACACAGUGACCUGAACUAGAGACACUUCGAAAACCUUGUCUGUAAUGAAGCCACUGGUGUUACUACCUGCAGUAUACCAAGAAAGGGAAGGAGUUUCUGGAACAGUGCUGUGAUGUGACUUCCACUUGGUGAGUUCUGGCCACACUAGUUGUGUGAUUCACUUCCUCUUCUGUUACU
Molecule: long non-coding RNA, 289 nt
Filed under: Numida meleagris (helmeted guineafowl)
Lineage: Eukaryota; Metazoa; Chordata; Aves; Galliformes; Numididae
Description: lncRNA (ENSNMEG00000008465.1)
Source: RNAcentral